Long non-coding RNA from Spodoptera litura, 519 nucleotides. RefSeq lists it as uncharacterized. Lineage: Eukaryota; Metazoa; Arthropoda; Insecta; Lepidoptera; Noctuidae. The record is from RefSeq and is a predicted model, not a curated record.
UUGCGCAGUUAGGAUCCCAGCGUUAAGGAGUUCGGCGCAGCGCGCGGUACUGCAGAGUCGCCGAAGCCACCGACCAGUACUGACGUAACUCACGAGAAGAAAACGUAAUUUUGUGGAAAUGGAAGUUAUAUGACAUUGGCUUUCCUCUUCGGCUCCCCACUGCUGAAUAGCAGUGGGGAGUCUACACAUGGAGGGGUCCCUACUUCUAACGAAGACGAGGCAGAUGUUUUGGAGUAGCGAAGGGGCUUUACUAGUGAAAAUGCAAGCACCCUUCGCGAUCCGUGUACCGAGACCCUAGUGAAAUUGCCGGGAAAAACAAACAAACAACAGCUGGGAUACAUGGAUCUAAAACAACAAUCGUAAUCUUCAAUCAAGCUGGAAUCACAGCGUUUUCUGUAGUUUGCAACGAUACACAUCGCGGGAAUGUGUAUCCGAAUUAUUCAUGUAGAAUUCUGUCUCUGUCAAAGCUAUUAUUGUAUUGUGUAUGUGUCUCAUGCAAUAAAUAGCCCUUGAAUUAAA